GCUAUAGCUCAGCAGGUUAGAGCGCUGGAUUGUGGUUCCAGAGGUCGCCGGUUCAAAUCCGGUUAG
This 66-nucleotide transfer RNA is filed under the name marine eukaryotic metagenome. It matches the Rfam family "tRNA", at positions 5 to 66 of the family's 71-position model. From Rfam's summary of the family: Transfer RNA (tRNA) molecules are approximately 80 nucleotides in length. Their secondary structure includes four short double-helical elements and three loops (D, anti-codon, and T loops). The record is from RNAcentral.